GCUCAGGAUGAACGCUGGCGGCGUGCCUAAUACAUGCAAGUCGAGCGAACGGACGAGAAGCUUGCUUCUCUGAUGUUAGCGGCGGACGGGUGAGUAACACGUGGAUAACCUACCUAUAAGACUGGGAUAACUUCGGGAAACCGGAGCUAAUACCGGAUAAUAUUUUGAACCGCAUGGUUCAAAAGUGAAAGACGGUCUUGCUGUCACUUAUAGAUGGAUCCGCGCUGCAUUAGCUAGUUGGUAAGGUAACGGCUUACCAAGGCAACGAUGCAUAGCCGACCUGAGAGGGUGAUCGGCCACACUGGAACUGAGACACGGUCCAGACUCCUACGGGAGGC
Molecule: ribosomal RNA, 338 nt
Filed under: Staphylococcus aureus
Lineage: Bacteria; Bacillati; Bacillota; Bacilli; Caryophanales; Staphylococcaceae
Description: bacterial SSU rRNA
Rfam family: Bacterial small subunit ribosomal RNA
Source: RNAcentral